UAUGAAAGGUAAUAGUGUUAGAGAGGUAUAGGUUUGGGCGAUGUUGUGUUGGUUGGGGGUGUGUUUUUUAAAGUAUUAUUUUUUUUUUGGGUAUUUGAAGAGGUUUAUUAUGGAAGAUUUUGUGUAGUUGAGAUAUUUUAAUUAUAGGUGUGUGUUUUAUAUUAAUUUAUUGGAAUGUGAAUUUUUUUGGGGUUUUUGAAGUAAUUUGGAAAUUAGUAAGAUGAA
This 225-nucleotide unclassified non-coding RNA is filed under the name Hevea brasiliensis (rubber tree). The record is from RNAcentral. Lineage: Eukaryota; Viridiplantae; Streptophyta; Magnoliopsida; Malpighiales; Euphorbiaceae.